This 181-nucleotide small RNA is filed under the name Yersinia ruckeri. RNAcentral describes it as "Manganese sequence". It matches the Rfam family "Manganese Mn2+ riboswitch aptamer (yybP-ykoY)". Rfam says of the family: This RNA was originally discovered in E. coli during a large scale screen and was named SraF. The family was later found to exist upstream of related families of protein genes in many bacteria, including the the yybP and ykoK genes in B. subtilis. Lineage: Bacteria; Pseudomonadati; Pseudomonadota; Gammaproteobacteria; Enterobacterales; Yersiniaceae. The record is from Rfam by way of RNAcentral.
GCGCCGUUCAAUGGGGAGUAGCCGGUUUCUGAAGCAUUAAUUCAGAAACGCCCGUAUCAACAUACUCGUUUCAUUCAUCGAAACGUGGUGCGGGCAGCCAGAUAAGGUUGGCGAGACCAUAGACACGUAACUCCGUCGUAAGGUUGGGGGUGGGUUGCGUGUAUAUGGAGCCACCCGGCCG